AUACGGAGGAUCCGGGCGUUAUCCGGAAUUACUGGGUUUAAAGGGUGCGUAGGCGGGGCUUUAAGCCGGCGGUGAAAUGCAGCGGCUCAACCGCUGGAAUGCCGUUGGGACUGGGGCUCUUGGAUACGGUCGGGGCGGGUGGAACUCGUGGUGUAGCGGUGAAAUGCAUAGAUAUCACGAGGAACGCCGGUAGCGAAGGCAGCUCGCCGGGCCGGGAUUGACGCUGAGGCACGAAAGCGUGGGGAUCGAACAGGAUUAGAUACCCUGGUAGUCCACGCCGUAAACGAUGAUGGCUGGGUGUUGGCGAUAGACGGUCAGCGCCUGAGGGAAACCAUUAAGCCAUCCACCUGGGGAGUACGGCCGCAAGGCUGAA
RNAcentral lists this ribosomal RNA (373 nucleotides) under uncultured bacterium. RNAcentral's name for it is "bacterial SSU rRNA". It matches the Rfam family "Bacterial small subunit ribosomal RNA", at positions 523 to 898 of the family's 1533-position model. The record is from RNAcentral.